UCCAGGGUAGUUCAGAGGUAGAACGCGUGACUGUUAAUCACGAUGUCGAUGGUUCGAUCCCAUCCCCUGGAGCCA
Molecule: transfer RNA, 75 nt
Filed under: Parcubacteria group bacterium
Lineage: Bacteria
Description: tRNA-Asn
Rfam family: tRNA
About the family: Transfer RNA (tRNA) molecules are approximately 80 nucleotides in length. Their secondary structure includes four short double-helical elements and three loops (D, anti-codon, and T loops).
Source: RNAcentral